GCACCAGAGGAGGAAGGUCAAACUUUUAUCCAUGCUUGAUGAGGUGGAUAGAAGAUAUAACCAUUACUGUGAACAAAUGCAAAUGGUUGUGAAUUCAUUUGAUCUGGUAAUGGGAUUUGGGGCAGCAGUUCCUUACACUGCGCUUGCCCAGAAGGCCAUGUCAAGGCAUUUUCGAUGUCUAAAGGAUGCAAUUGCAGCACAAUUGAAGCAUAGUUGUGAACUACUUGGGGAGAAAGAUGGAGCAGGGACCUCAGGCAUAACAAAAGGAGAGACUCCAAGGCU
Molecule: unclassified non-coding RNA, 282 nt
Filed under: Hevea brasiliensis (rubber tree)
Lineage: Eukaryota; Viridiplantae; Streptophyta; Magnoliopsida; Malpighiales; Euphorbiaceae
Source: RNAcentral